Molecule: long non-coding RNA, 774 nt
Filed under: Piliocolobus tephrosceles (Ugandan red Colobus)
Lineage: Eukaryota; Metazoa; Chordata; Mammalia; Primates; Cercopithecidae
Description: lncRNA (ENSPTEG00000006112.1)
Source: RNAcentral
AUGUUUUAUGUUCACAACGAUUACACUCGAACAUGUACAAAAUUCAUUUAUGAUUUAUUUCACUCUUUUAUUUAUUGACAUAUUUACUAACAUAUUUACUCACAUAUUUACUAACAUAUUUAUUAUUUUUGUUUAAUUAAGAACUUGCAGAUUUCUCCUUUUUCUUGAUACCGAUAUCGUUGAGCACGACAUAAAAAAACACAAAAUAAAAAAAAAGGUGAUGCAACAAAAAAAAAAAAUAAGGAAAUAAAAUAAUAAAAUAAUAAAAUAAUUAAAUAAAAUAAAAUACUUUAUUUAUUCAUGUCCUUUUCUUUCUUUUUUUUUUUUUUAAUAGUAUGGUGAUUCCUGCACGAAUAUUUUCAUUUCACAACAAAAAUGGCUAGUAACAGAGAAUAAAAUGAAGGGAGUGUUAUAUUGCCCUAACGUUAAGUGUAAGAAUAAACUUGGUAAAUGGUCAUGGACUGGUAUAUGUUGUUCAUGUGGUUAUUUACAAAUCCCUGCUUUUAUGGUUAAUAGAAAAAAAAAAAAAAAAAAAAAAAAGCAAUUGCAAUUAUAAUUACAAUUACAAUUACCAGUGUACAUGUCUUUUUUACUAUCAAACAAAAUCAUUUUCAAUUUUAAUUUUUUUAUUUUUUUAUUUUUCAGAUAAAUAUAUCAAAUAUUGACCGUAUGAGUAUCCAGCCAAACUAAAUUUAAAUAGGUCUACUCAUUUUUUAAAAUAGAUAAAUUAUUUAUAAAAAUAAAUAAUAAUUACCAUAUUUACGUGUAUUCUAU